CGUCCGUGCAAUCUUAUAAUCUCAAUGUCUUACAAAGGGACUUAAAAACUAUCACAACUCUUUUUUCAAUUGUGCUGAUUACAUUAGGAAAAAAUCAGCUCCGACUUCUGUCAUGGAUAGAACAUAUUGCCUUCUAUUGGGCUGUAUUUUUAUUGCAGCUAUUGCAAGUCAGACGGAUGCAUUACGCUGCUAUAAUUGCAACAAUCUGGAUGACAACGGUUGCGAUGACCCUUUCAGUUCUGCUUCCGAACUGACUGGUUGUGUACAAUGUGUCAAAGUGAAAGGCACGAAAAGUUCCUUGCAAGUUGUGGCCAGGAUAUGUGCCCCAGAAAGAUUGCCCGUGAAUGGAUGCGAAUCAAAAACCGAACAAGGGAUCACCGGCGAGGCGUGCGUCUGCGAAACGGAUCUGUGUAACUCAUCCGUGAGGGUUGCCGCUUCAGCAACGCUUUUAAUGAUCCUGUCAUUUUACAUCACAGUACAUCUGAUGUAAUCUCAUUGCAUGCAACAGCUUUCAUUUAAAGAAGAGUGUGUUUUUAACAUUGAAGCAAUGCACAAACACGUACAUAGUUUUCAGAAGGAAAGGUCGCUAACAACAUUGACAACUCUUUAUGCAUCAACUACUAGAAGUACAUUAUAUACUUUUCAUUUUAUUCGGAUUGAAUACUAGUUUGAUGGUUGUGUAAUUGUUUUAAAUAUAUAAUUAUUGUAAUGCAUUGUCUUCGGUGUCUUAUUACAAUGUAAUAAAUAAAAUUGUCCUAAGUUAGAA
Long non-coding RNA from Dreissena polymorpha, 766 nucleotides. RefSeq lists it as uncharacterized. Lineage: Eukaryota; Metazoa; Mollusca; Bivalvia; Myida; Dreissenidae. The transcript is spliced from 3 exons. The record is from RefSeq and is a predicted model, not a curated record.